GGAAUCUUGGUCAAUGGGCGCAAGCCUGAACCAGCGACGCCGCGUGAGUGAUGAAGGCCUUCGGGUUGUAAAGCUCUGUGGGGAGGGACGAAAGAAUCGGUUCUAACAGGACCGAAGUUGACGGUACCUCCUUCGCAAGCACCGGCUAACUCUGUGCCAGCAGCCGCGGUAAGACAGAGGGUGCAAACGUUGCUCGGAAUCACUGGGCGUAAAGGGCGUGUAGGCGGGUGGAUAAGUCAGACGUGAAAUCCCCAGGCUCAACCUGGGAAUUGCAUUUGAAACUGUCCAUCUAGAGUGUCGGAGAGGAAAGCGGAAUUCCUGGUGUAGAGGUGAAAUUCGUAGAUAUCAGGAGGAACACCGGUGGCGAAGGCGGCUUUCUGGACGACAACUGACGCUGAGACGCGAAAGCGUGGGUAGCAA
This 420-nucleotide ribosomal RNA is filed under the name uncultured bacterium. RNAcentral describes it as "bacterial SSU rRNA". It matches the Rfam family "Bacterial small subunit ribosomal RNA", at positions 358 to 771 of the family's 1533-position model. The record is from RNAcentral.